This 352-nucleotide unclassified non-coding RNA is filed under the name soil metagenome. Its description in RNAcentral is "partial contains 5.8S ribosomal RNA, internal transcribed spacer 2, and large subunit ribosomal RNA". The stretch from base 1 to 120 matches the Rfam family "5.8S ribosomal RNA", at positions 35 to 154 of the family's 154-position model. The record is from RNAcentral.
GAUGAAGAACGCAGCGAAAUGCGAUAAGUAAUGUGAAUUGCAGAAUUCAGUGAAUCAUCGAAUCUUUGAACGCACAUUGCGCCCGCCAGUAUUCUGGCGGGCAUGCCUGUUCGAGCGUCAUUACAACCCUCAGGCCCCCGGGCCUGGCGUUGGGGAUCGGCGGAAGCCCCCUGUGGGCACACGCCGUCCCUCAAAUACAGUGGCGGUCCCGCCGCAGCUUCCAUUGCGUAGUAGCUAACACCUCGCAACUGGAGAGCGGCGCGGCCAUGCCGUAAAACACCCAACUUCUGAAUGUUGACCUCGGAUCAGGUAGGGAUACCCGCUGAACUUAAGCAUAUCAAUAAGCGGAGGA